This 2259-nucleotide ribosomal RNA is filed under the name Triticum aestivum (bread wheat). Its description in RNAcentral is "partial small subunit ribosomal RNA". The record is from RNAcentral. Lineage: Eukaryota; Viridiplantae; Streptophyta; Magnoliopsida; Poales; Poaceae.
AUGCUACAGUGCAAAUCAGUGGUGCCUGAGCUGCACUGGUGGGUUCAGGGCCACACUUUUAGCUACCCAAUGAAAGUACUAGACCUAGGAGGAUAUGAUAUGAUCCUGGGGAUGGAUUGGCUAGAGCAAUGGGGUGAAAUGACUUGUCAGUGGAAAGAAAAAUGGGUGAGGUUCCAAUUUCAAGACCAGCUCAUAACCUUGCAAGGCUUGUUACCUCCAGCCAACCCGGUGUUACAAGAAGUAUCAGUUGAGCAAGCCAUGAGAUGGCACACUGGUAAUGACAUUUGGGCAACUGCUUUGAUCACUCCUGUGAUGUCAAAAACACCAAAUGAAAUUCCGAAUGAGGUGCAAGUAGUGAUACAAGAAUUUGCGGAUGUGUUCCAAGAUCCUAAAACAUUACCCCCUUCAAGACCCCUAGAUCAUGCUAUACACCUGGUACCUGGGGCUCUUCUAGUGAAUGUAAGACCUUACAGAUACUCUCCUCUUCAAAAGGAUGAAAUUGAAAAACAAGUGGCUGAGAUGCUAGAAGCGGGGUUGAUAACCCCUAGUGUCAGUCCUUUUGCCUCUUCCGUGUUACUGGUAAAAAAGAAAGAUGGCACAUGGAGAUUCUGUGUGGAUUACAGGAAACUUAACUCCAUCACGGUGAAGAGUAGGUUUCCUAUGCCGGUGGUGGAUGAACUAUUAGAUGAGUUGGCAGGCACUAAGUGGUUUACAAAGUUGGAUCUAAGAGCAGGUUACCACCAGAUCAGAAUGGUACCUGAAGAUGAACAUAAAACGGCUUUUCGGACCCAUAAUGGUCAUUAUCAGUUCAAGGUCAUGGCGUUUGGACUUGCUACAGCUCCGGGUACUUUCCAGGGUAACAUGAAUUUGUACUUGUCCAAAGGGAACAGAAAGUAUGUCAUAUCCUUCAUGGAUGACAUCUUGGUGUUCAGCCAGUCUCUAGUGGACCAUAUAGCUCACCUGAGAGAAGUGCUGCAAAUUUUGAGAGAAAACCAGUUUUAUGCUAAGAUGAGCAAAUGCUCUUUUGCUCAACAACAAUUAGAGUAUUUGGGUCAUAUUAUCUCAGAUAAAGGGGUGGCUACAGAUCCUGAGAAAACUAAAGUGAUGUCGGAGUGGCAUGUUCCUCAAAAUGUCACAGAACUCCGAGGAUUUCUGGGUCUCACCGGGUAUUACAGGAAGUUUGUGCAGCAUUAUGGUAUUAUUGCAAAACCUCUGACACAGCUACUGCAGAAAAACAAUUUUGCAUGGUCCGAGGCGGCUCAACAGGCUUUUGAUAAACUGAAAGUUGCUAUGUCCACUACUCCUGUGUUGUUGUUACCUGACUUUGAUAAGCAGUUCACCAUUGAAACAGAUGCAUGCUCAACGGGUAUUGGAGCUGUUCUUUUGCAACAAGGACAUCCUGUAGCAUUCUACAGUAAAGCACUGGGCAUUAAGAAUCAGCAACUGUCCAUAUAUGAGAAAGAGUUUUUAGCUAUCAUGAUGGUAGUGGAGAAAUGGAGAGCUUACUUGCAAAGAGGACCUUUUAUUAUCAAAACCGAUCAUCAGAGUUUGUGUCAGUUAGGGGAUCAAAUUCUCACAUCUGAUCUUCAACGAAAAGCCAUGACUAAACUGGUGGGACUUCAGUUUCAGUUUCAGUACAAAAAGGGGACUGAAAACACUGUGGCUGAUGCAUUAUCAAGAGUAGGACAUCUGCUUGCGGUGUCUGCAACUUCUCAGAGUCAACCGGUGUGGAUGCAAGAGGUGGUGAAUUCUUAUGAAGUGGACCCUAAAGCACAACAAUUAAUACAACAGCUAGCAGUUUCUACUGAGAAUGCAGAAGGAUUUUCCUUGCAGCAAGGGAUAAUCAAAUUUCAAGAUAGAAUUUGGAUUGGAGCAAAUUCAGCUCUAAAAACCAAAUUAAUAUCUGCAUUUCAUGAUAGUGCAAUGGGAGGCCAUUCGGGGAUACUUGCCACUUACCAGAGAGUUCACAAACUGUUUGCUUGGUCAGGAUUGAAGAAUGAUGUGACUGAAUAUGUGCAACAAUGUGACAUUUGUCAGAAAGCAAAACAUGAACAUUGCAAGUACCCUGGCCUUCUAAAUCCUUUGCAUGUUCCUGAGGGCCCUUGGCAGCAAGUGACUAUGGAUUUCAUCGAAGGACUCCCUAAAUCUGCUGGGUACAGUGUCAUAUUGGUGGUGGUUGAUAGACAUACUAAAUAUGCCCAUUUCAUUCCUCUUAAACAUCCCUUUUCUGCUCCUGUUGUGGCCAAUUUUUGGAGAUAG